GCAACGAGCGCAACCCUUGUCCUAGUUGCCAGCAUUCAGUUGGGCACUCUAAGGAGACUGCCGGUGUUAAACCGGAGGAAGGUGGGGAUGACGUCAAGUCCUCAUGGCCCUUAUGUCCAGGGCUACACACGUGCUACAAUGGCCGGUACAAAGGGCUGCAAGACCGUGAGGUUGAGCGAAUCCCAGAAAGCCGGUCUCAGUUCGGAUUGGAGUCUGCAACUCGACUCCAUGAAGUUGGAAUCGCUAGUAAUCGCGGAUCAGCAUGCCGCGGUGAAUACGUUCCCGGGCCUU
RNAcentral lists this ribosomal RNA (291 nucleotides) under uncultured Desulfuromonas sp. RNAcentral's name for it is "partial 16S ribosomal RNA". It matches the Rfam family "Bacterial small subunit ribosomal RNA", at positions 1089 to 1382 of the family's 1533-position model. Lineage: Bacteria; Pseudomonadati; Thermodesulfobacteriota; Desulfuromonadia; Desulfuromonadales; Desulfuromonadaceae. The record is from RNAcentral.